Molecule: long non-coding RNA, 577 nt
Filed under: Homo sapiens (human)
Lineage: Eukaryota; Metazoa; Chordata; Mammalia; Primates; Hominidae
Description: HSALNT0057185
Source: RNAcentral
GAACAAACUGCUAUGCUGGAAAACUCUACAUAACACAAACUGAGGGUAGCCUCCAGCCGACACUUAGUGAAGAACAGAAUCCUACCUGGAACCAAAUGCAGCAUAAAAUAUACCAGAAACCUAAACCACCGAAUCUUUCACAUCUGUUUUUCCUACUUUAAACAUCAAAGACUUCAAUUUUUUUUUUCUUUUUCGUUUCUGUUCUCUGUAUAAUACUGUAAAGAGCAGUGUGUAAAUGUCAUUGACUAAGGUUGAUAAAGUAAGCACUGAUAAUAAACUUUUCUGUAUUCUCAGAAUUCAUAUUUUAAUUUUUCAUACAACUAAUGAAACAACAACUAAUGGAACAACAUUUUAUAAGAAAUAAAUAUCUACAAGAUAAAUUUUUAAAUAUUUUAAAAAAUAUUAAUUUCGAAGAUUUUAAAUCUAGCAGAAAGGUAGAAAAAUAAUAAGUUUCAUAUACCCAUUGUGAUGGUUAAUUUUAUGUGUGAACUUGGCUGGGCCACAGUGUCUAGAUAUGUGGUCAAACAUUAUUCUGGAUGUUUCUGUAAGCAAGUUUUUGGAUGAGAUUAAUGCUUAA